Molecule: ribosomal RNA, 706 nt
Filed under: uncultured Candidatus Poseidoniales archaeon
Lineage: Archaea; Methanobacteriati; Thermoplasmatota; Candidatus Poseidoniia; Candidatus Poseidoniales
Description: bacterial SSU rRNA
Rfam family: Archaeal small subunit ribosomal RNA
Source: RNAcentral
UUCCGGUUGAUCCUGCCGGAGGCUACCGCUAUUGGAGUUCGAUUAAGCCAUGCGAGUCGAGAGUCUUAGGGACUCGGCGUACCGCUCAGUAACACGUGGGUAACCUGCCCUAUGCUGGGGAAUAACCUCGGGAAACUGAGAAUAAUACCCCAUAGUUCACCACGCCUGGAACGGUGGGUGGAUGAAAGCUCCGGCGGCAUAGGAUGGGCCUGCGACGUAUCAGGUUGUAGGGGGUGUAACGUACCCUCUAGCCAUCAACGCGUACGGGUGUUGGGAGACAUAGCCCGGAGAUGGAUUCUGAGACACGAAUCCAGACCCUACGGGGUGCAGCAGGCGCGAAAACUUGGCAAUGCGAGCAAUCGUGACCAGGGAACUCCAAGUGGCUGGGGUAAUACCCAGUUUUUUCUUGACUCUUCAAAGGUCUUGGAAUAAGGGGUGGGUAAGGACGGUGCCAGCCGCCGCGGUAAUACCGGCGCCUCAAGUGGUAGUCGCUUUUAUUGGGCCUAAAACGUCCGUAGCCGGUCUGGUGCAUUCGUGGGUAAAUCAACCCGCUCAACGGGUUGAAUUCUGCGAGCACGGCCAGACUUGGGACCGGGAGAGGUGUGGGGUACUCUCAGGGUAGGGGUAAAAUCCUGUCAUCCUGAGAGGACCACCUGUUGCGAAGGCGCCACACUAGAACGGAUUCGACGGUCAGGGACGAAACCUA